This 439-nucleotide ribosomal RNA is filed under the name uncultured bacterium. RNAcentral's name for it is "partial 16S ribosomal RNA". It matches the Rfam family "Bacterial small subunit ribosomal RNA", at positions 338 to 795 of the family's 1533-position model. The record is from RNAcentral.
CCUACGGGUGGCAGCAGUGGGGGAUAUUGCACAAUGGGGGGAACCCUGAUGCAGCGACGCCGCGUGGGCGAUGGAGUGCUUCGGCAUGUAAAGCCCUAUCAGCAGGGAAGAAAAUGACGGUACCUGACUAAGAAGCCCCGGCUAAAUACGUGCCAGCAGCCGCGGUAAUACGUAUGGGGCAAGCGUUAUCCGGAUUUACUGGGUUUAAAGGGUGCGCAGGCGGCGUGUCAAGUCAGCGGUAAAAUGUCGGGGCUCAACCCCGGCCGGCCGUUGAAACUGGCGUGCUCGAGUUGGAGAGAAGUAGGCGGAAUUCGUGGUGUAGCGGUGAAAUGCAUAGAUAUCACGAAGAACCCUGAUUGCGAAGGCAGCAUACCGGCUCCACACUGACGCUGAGGCACGAAAGCGUGGGGAUCGAACAGGAUUAGAUACCCUUGUAGUC